Long non-coding RNA from Aricia agestis (brown argus), 100 nucleotides. RefSeq lists it as uncharacterized. Lineage: Eukaryota; Metazoa; Arthropoda; Insecta; Lepidoptera; Lycaenidae. The transcript has 3 exons. The record is from RefSeq and is a predicted model, not a curated record.
CAAGUGAAAAUUAUAAACCUGUUACCUACUCAGCGCAAAAUGUUUUGUGUCAUAAUCAAACUAAUUAAUAAAAGCCAAUUUUCAUGAGUUUUUGUUUCAA